RNAcentral lists this small RNA (28 nucleotides) under Bombyx mori (domestic silkworm). Its description in RNAcentral is "ovarian small RNA-11016". The record is from RNAcentral. Lineage: Eukaryota; Metazoa; Arthropoda; Insecta; Lepidoptera; Bombycidae.
ACACCUAGAAAUAUUCAAGGGCGAGGAU